CUUAGGAGAUGUUGAAGACAUUCUGAGGAUCAAGGUAACACGUAAAUGUAUGAAUUUGUAUUUCACUUAUUUAAGAUGUUCGAAGUACUUUAUAUGUCAUAUAUGUUUAAGCGUCCAUAUAUAUGGGUAUUUUAAAAUAAAGCUUUUGAGGAAAUAAUUCUUGUAUACAUGUAACUGAUAUAUUGAAACACCAAACAAGAGUAUUAAAAAAUCUAAUCUUAUUAUAUAGUAUGCAGAUGGGUCUUUCUUUAACACGAGACUCAUCAGAGGACCUCGAAGCAAAACAUUUGUCAAAUAACGAAGAGAAAUUGAAUGUCACCAUAAUGUUGUUUUAACAAAGACAUUUAAGAUAACUCCGACUUUAUCUUACAAUGCUAUGUUUUUUUUUCAUUUACACAAUAAGAGUUAUAAAUUGAAAAUUGAAAUAGAGGCUUGUUUAAAAAAACACUGGUAUAAGUUUUAUUCUAGUUAGUGUUUGAUUUAAAUAUAGCGUUUUACGUUCUUCACUGAAACAAAAUUUAUAAUAGAUAGGGUUGCUGAAGGUUAAACUAUCUAGAAGUUUUUUAAAAGUAAGAUUUUUUUUUAACAAAAAAAUAUAAUAUCUACAUUUCUUAACUAUGAAUGUUGUCUUUCAUUUCUUUAAUGAGCAUCAGUUACGCACAUAAUUGUUUCAGUAAGAUAACACAACAUUCGAUAUAGACAUUAAUGUUUUAUUUUUAAACGAAAUACAGCGUAAAUGCAUACAUAAUAUACAUAACAUUUCAAUACACAGAUACACGUAUAAAAACUUAUAGUAAUAGCAAUACUGGUGUUAAAUUUAUUGCAUCAUAUACGCAUUUCGACCACAAAUGUUUCUUCAGUAAUGGUCGAGUCAAAAUUGUUUUAAAAUAGUAAACUAAUUUAAAGAUAGUGAAUAAUAUUGACAUGCAAUAAUAAAAGAACAGUUCCGGAGCAGGAUUUGCUUAUAAAUACCGAAGUUUUUUUUAGCAGAACAGAUAUAUUUCCCUUUAUUGUUCAUUUCUGUUAUCAAUUGCCGAUAUAAUAAUUAACAAAGUUUUAAAGCUGAACGAUUUUUCCACUUAUAUUUUUAUAUCCCACUAUGGGACAUUAUGUUUUUCUGUCUGUGCGUUCGUUCGUUCGACCGUCCAUUCGUUUGUUCGUUCUUCCACCCGUCUUUCCCGCUGUAGGUUAAAUAUUUUGGUCAAGACAGUUUUUGAUGAAGUUGACGUCCAAUCAGUUUGAAACUGAGUUCACAUGUUCCCCUUGAUUUGAUUUUUUUUAAAGUAAUGCCAAAUUAGAGUUUUGAUCUCAAUUUCACGUGCAACUAAACAUCUAAAUGAUAAUGCGAGUGGGUAUCCAAUUACAAUGGACGCAUUCUUGUUAUACAUCUUUCACGUAAAUAUUUGUACGUCAUAUAUUCUAAAAUAAAACUCAUCAUUAAUCAAUAUACCUUACACAAUAUAAAAUAUCUUUCAUGUCUCUUUCAUUAUAGAAGCGACCUUUCUCAACAUGCCAACAAUAAACAUGGUUGCUAUAUUUACAAAUUUGAUAAUCGUUUAAAGAUAUUAUUAACAGCUAUACUUUGCCAUAAUGUAAUUCAUGAAGGUCUCACAUAUAUUUGAUGUGUCUCAAAAAAGAUAUUACUUUAUUUACAAAGGUAUACGUAAGCCCCUGUUUAAUCCCACUGAGAAAUUUAUCUUCACUAUAUGAGGUUUGGUAAAACCAAAUAAUAUUAUAAACAGAUCUUUACUACAAAUCUGGCAUUUUACAAGCCAUAUUCAGUUCAUUGGGUGACUUUUUACAAAUAUUUGAACCAGUAUUGAUCAUUCUGUAUUAUCGUUCAAUUAACAAAGGAAAUCUUCAUACUUCUAAGUAAACCACGUUAUUAAUUAUAGAUUGUCAAAUAAAUUUCAAAAUAUUAAACGCACCUUUCGAAUAUCGUCUCCUUUGUAUGCUUCUCAUAUUCAUAGUAAUAAAUUAAAAUACACGACACGUAUUAUCAAUAUGAUUCAUAGUAAGUUAUGAUAAGCAUUUUUAACUUUACUUUACAUUUAAACCUUCCUUGUUUGGCCUUGAUUUGACACCUUCUUUGAUGUUUGCAAACAUUGUCAUUUAUACAAAUAGUCUUCUUUAUAAAAUAAAAUUAUCACUCAUUUUAAUUUUAAUUCCUUUCAUUAACCAUUUUCGUAAUUUUCAAUGUAAUCUCAUUGAUAAAAAAACCUACACAUUUUGAUUUUUAAUUUUGCUAGGUAUUAUAUAAAGUUCCUGUGGACGACCAUCCUGUAGACGACAAUCCCCCUUCUAGAUAACAAAGUAAAAGGUAACUAAACAAUUAUGAUAAAUCAAAUAAUUUAAAAAAAAAGUCAAACAGAUUUUAAAAUCAUAAGAUUCAAGUUCUUAAACUUUAAUCAAUUUUUCAUUUCUUGUGUGACAAAUAAGUAUUAACAUUUAUACAUUUAGAUACAUUUGUUGUAAACACAUUUUUGACUUGGACUUCACGUGUGUAAUUGCAUAAGUCAUAUCUUCUUUGACUGUCCAUGACGUUAACUACUUAAUCCCUGGUAUGUGCGUAUUGUUAUGCGUUUACUUUUCUACAUUGGCUAGAGGUAUAGGGGGCGGGUUGAGAUCUCAUUAACAUGUUUAACCCCGCCGCAUUUUUGCGCCUGUCCCAAGUCAGAAGCCUCUGGCCUUUGUUAGUCUUGUAUUAUUUUAACUUUAGUUUCUUGUGUACAAUUUGGAAAUUAGUAUGGCGUUCAUUAUCACUGAACUGGUAUAUAUUUGUUUAGGGGCCAGCUGAAGGAAGCCUCCAGGUGCGGGAAUUUCUCGCUACAUUGAAGACCUGUUGGUGACCUUCUGCUGUUGUUUUUUCUAUGGUCGGGUUGUUGUCUCUUUGACACAUCCCAAUUUCUAUUCUCAAUUUUAGUUGAUUUUAGACUCUGAUGCAUGAUUUUUUAUUAAUAAUUGUUUUUAUAUCUUAACUAGCUUUCAGUAAAUGCGAGUUGCUCUGAAAUCGUACUUUCACUUUUAAUUGACCUGUUGAUACAAUUUGUAAUGCUUUUAUUUUAUUUCAUGUUUACUUAUUUAAAUUAAUAUCUCGUCUCUCUAUUUCUAGCAUAUACCAGCUUUGAUAAUUGUCUGGAAUGAAUAUAAAUUUUUACUCCUGAUCUCGUUCUAUGAACAAUAAAAUUAUAUAUUUUGUAAAAAAUAUUUCCGUUCUCAAUUACUGUACAACAUUAUUUUCCUUUAUCUGUGUACAUUAUUCUAUUUGGCGGCCUUUUCUUCGAGGUUUACAUUGUUAUAUGGCGGGUGUUUGUGCAAGGUUACGGUUGACCUGAAAUUAUUAAUUCUCUCACCCCUUAUCUUAUUUUAUUGAUUUUGUAUUUAACAUUGUGUCAUAGAUUAAAUUUAAUCGUUCCGUGUAUAUCACUUGUCUGUUUUCAUAUGUCUUUUAAAUGAGUUUAGCCAUUUCGAUUGAUAUUCUAGAGUUUGUCUUUCUAUGUUGUGAUGCUACAUCAUUGUUUCAGGUAAGGGUGAAUAAACGAUUCAUCUUUAUUAAAUUGUACAAAUAUGUUAUUGCUAUCUAGACAAAUAAACACAUCGAAGGAUGCCAGACAUUUCCAAACUUUAAACAGAUCAUAUACUUAGUGUUUUUAGUAGCUCCCAAAAAAAAAACGUAAUCCGUUUUGCAAAAUCCUUUUAAUAAAUGGUAACACCGGCUAAACAUAAAAUGAUUGGUAUAAUCAUACACAUAAAAAAAUAAGUAUUAUGUUUGCCAUAAAAACAACUCAUAGUCAGCUAAAAAAAAUGACAUAAUGCUUUUUACAAACGUACGCCUGUUGUGACAUGUAACUAUAAUUCCCUGUUGAUCAGUUUCAUCCUUGUUUUCUUCUUGAAUGUUUUUGUUUUUGUUUGUUUCAUUUAAAAAGUUAUCCUUGCUUAUCAUUCUUUUCACAGUGCUCUUUUGAUUUAGAAACAAAAAUCGUCAAUUGAUAAGAUGUUGAGAGCACGGCAGAGCAGCUAUGUUAUCAAUAACGUUGAUGUAGGUAAAACAGACCUUGGGAAUACUGUAGGCUACGAGGAAUGCCUUGAUUAUGUAGAAAAGGACGAUUAUGAUCAAAUACCGGCAGAUAGAGAUACAAUAAAUCAUGAUUACCUCGUUUUGACUUCAACAGUGAAGGAGGAGAUGAAACAAACAAACAACAUGGUUCAUCAUCAAAACAAACAAUCAGACAGCGAGGUUCAUCAAACGAAGCAGUCUUUAUUGAGGCCAAUAUUUCUAAUCAUGCUUUGCAUCAUAAUCACAGCAUCAGUUACAGCAAUUGUCACUUUCUUUGCUACGAAACAAGUACUGUCAGAAAACAAUGAAAAAUGUAAGUAUCUGACACAUUUGCUUAAACGAUAGUUGUUCUUCUGUGAUAAAGGGAAAGGGUUGUGUGCACACAAAACUUUAUUGAAUGAUUUUGUGAAAUUACCAAAUGAGGCAACAUAAAUAUUAGCCAUAUGUUUUUAGUUUUAUUUGCUUUUGUUUGUAUGUCUAUUUUCCCAUGGAAGUGAGUUUAGGAUGUUUCUGAGAUCUCUUUAAAUGAUAUCCCAGAUCCAAAAGAGGAUGUAUACAUCAUGCUCAAUAAAUAGUUAUUUAUUCUCAAUAUAAAAGCCAUGAUGAAAUUAUCGUCACAUUUUUCGAGGGAAAUAAAAAAUUAUCUUACUAAAAUUUGUGAUCAGAAUUCAUGAAAGCAUGAAUGUGACACGAUUUUAGAUUCAGGCUUUAAGUAAAUAUUGCUUCCAUGUUUGAGUUUGAUUUCUCUUUAGAUCCCAGAUUUCUAAAAACUUAAAACUGGUCUAUUAUUAGUGAGAAAAAGAUAAAUAGCCAAAUGUUCUACUUGUUAGUUAUUUAAAAGACAAUUCUAUGUUCAUGUUUCAAACAUAUUAUAACAUAUUUUUUCAGUCAAAAUUGGCGAAACAGUCUGAAUAUCAUGCAUCAUAUUUCUAAUGCAUACGGCUUAACAGAGUCCGGUUUUAUAGUUAACUGUGUGUAAAUAAAUGAGAAAGAUUCCGAUUAAGAACUGUUGGUUCGACUUUAAAGGGAGACUAUUUCAUAUCAAUCACAUCAAUUUAAAAUGUUUGACAGUAUGCUCGUGUUAGAGGGUUCGUGUUAUGUAUGUUCUACAAUGCAGACAGACCAGAAUGAAAGGCAGUUAAUUUAGACUGUUAUUGACUAUAGGAAUUUUUUAGGCAGGGAUAUAUAUUUGUUCAGCAACUUGUCAAAUACGGCUUGUCAGAGAGUUAAUUGUGUAACGACUUUUUGACGUGCAAUAAACGUUACACUCUAAUAUGUAGUUUAUCAUUUUACUUUACAAUUCAGACCGGUCAAGCUCGUGCUACAAAUCAAUACGUCCAUACAAUUCAGAUGAAGAAAGAGUUAUGAGUUAGUAAAAUAGUAAUUUUAAUCAUAGAUGCAAUGACAAAAAAAAAACCCAAUCGUAUUGCAUAAUAGUUAUCAAAGGUACCAGGAUCAUAAUUUAAUACGCCAGACGCGCGUUUUCCUAAAUAAGACUCAUCAGUGACGCUCAGAUCAAAAUAGUUAUAAAGCCAAACAAGUACAAAGUUAAAAAUUGAGGACCAAAAAUUUUUAAAAAAUGUGAUAAAUACGGCUACGGUAAUUUAUUCCUGGUAUAAGAAAAUCCUUAGUUUUUCGAAAAACUUAGAGUUUUGUAAACAGGAAAUUUAUAAAAAUGACCAUAUAAUUGAUAUUUAAGUCAACACAGAAGUGCUGACUACUGGGCUGGUGAUACCCUUGGGGACGAAACGUCAACCAGCUGUGGCAUCGACCCAGUGGUGUAAAUAGUUAUCAAAGGUACCAGGAUUAUAAUUUAAUAUGCAAGACGCGCGUUUCGUCUACUUAGACUCAUCAGUGACGCUCAGAUCAAAUUAGUUAUAAAGCCAAACAAGUACAAAGUUGAAGAGAUAUACGAUGCACAUUUCGAUAAUAAAGGUAUCUGCAGUGAUGCUCGCGAACAACAAAACAAAUUUUAGUUUUGAACUCUAGACAAAAUGACAAUCGCAAGUAAAACCCAUCUAAAAUAAAAAAGGAAAAAAUGGGUAAAUGUGUUUAAGCAGUCAUUUUUAAUCUUGUUUCUUUUAAGGUAAAGCAGACACAACACGAUGCAACACUACUUGUUGCAACAGCACAGGAGAUGCAUCUUGUACAGGUAUAUUUUUCUCAAAAACACGAAUUAGUCUCCAUGAUUAACAAAGCAAUAUUUUUUUUUUUUUAAUAUUUAUCUGAGACUUCGUCCAUGAAUCUUGGACAACACGGAUAAAGUUCAUUAUUUGCUUUAUAUAUUCCGUAAGUUCCAAAAAUUUCUACAAACUUUAAAAGUUACAUACUUUAAGUUCGUAUAAAUGGAAAACAAAACCAAAACAAAACCAGGACAACAUUCAAUUCUUUAGUAAAAUAUUAAAAUAUUAUUCAUAGAAAUCGUGGAAUGUAUUGGUAUGUGAUUCGCUACUAUUUUAAUUAUAAAAAAGAUGGAGGAACUUUUUCUAAAGAAGGACGUAAGCCAAUAAAAAAAGUACAAUGUUCUCAUCUGAUUUUAGUUCCAUGUUCGCAGGAAUCGUGUGAGAAUGGAGGAACUUGCGUCAACGAUGACUGUAUGUGUGACGAUGGGUUUGCUGGAGUAAAGUGUGAAAUAGGUUUGUUUAACUUUGAAUUAUUGAUCAGGACGAAACAAUUUAGCUAAAAUUGUCACAGUUAAACGUUGCCCACAUGCACACAUGUAUUAGAUUCAACUUUGUAAUUGCUAAUUCACUAUUUUAGACAAAACCAAAAUUUAGAUAACAAAAACAUCAGCAGUACGCAUUUAUAGAUAUAAGAAGAUGUGGUUUGAGUGUCAAUGAGACAACUCUCCAUUCAAAACAAAAUAAGUAAAAGUAAACGAACGUUAGUUUUCUCGUUCGAAUUGUUUUACAUUGUCAUAUCGGGGCCUUUUUUAGCUUACUAUGCGGUAUUGGCUCAUUGUUGAAGGCCCUAUAUUUGUUAAUGUCUGUGUCAUUUUGGUCUCUUGUGGACAAUUGUCUCAUUGGCUAUCAUACCACAUCUUAUUUUUUAUAUCAUCAUAGAAACCUUGAAAUUUUAUAUUUGCACCAGAUGCGCUUUUCGUCUACAAAAGACUCAUCAGUGACGCUCGAACAAAAAAAAGUUAAAGAGGCUAAAUAAAGUACGAAGUUUCAGAGCAUUUGAGACGAAAACUAUAUCUUGUAAACGAUUAUGUUUUCAUUAUUGUUUUUUUUUUUACACAUAACCACAUAAAGCAAUUUGAGAAAUACUUAUUCAAACCUAUGAACAACAAAACACGACAAAAAGUCGAUACAUUUAUUUCCUAACUAUAUUUAGGAGUCUUUUAUAUCAUUUUUAGAUGUCAACCAAACAUGCAAAUCUGACGCAAACAGACUCAUACCACAUCCAAAUACAUGUCAGCUGUACUAUAAUUGCAGUCAAGCAGUGUCCCCAAUUCCAACAUGGUACAGACUAUACACUCAUAUACCACAAGUUCCAAGACCUGCCUACCUGCACGAAUGUCCGUACCCUGAACUUUUCUCAACAACAACUAUGUCCUGUCAGAAUUAUACAGACGUGAAAUGUGGGUCUAGAUAUGAAACCAAAAAUAAAUGUAAGUUUAAUAGGUAAUGGUGAAUAUCGAUGAAACAUCCCUAAAUUAAGGUAUACAAAAGAUCACAAAGAGUAUAAAUAUCGUUUUGAGUAGACUGAAUUUAGAGAUUCACAAAAUUUUGUUGAUAAUAUCCGUUUCAACAAAAUAUUCUGAAAAUGAUGGUAAAGAUUAUAUGAAUUGACAAUAUUUAUAAAAAUAAAUAAGUUGAUAAAUAGAUGAAUAAAUGAAUGAAAACAAAAACACGAUUCACCUUGUAUACGUUACAGGGAAUUUGUAAAAUCAGGGAUUUUUGUAAAUCACUGGACUAAUCAGUGGUUGUGUCAAACUAACAGUUUCAGUGGUUUUAUAAAAUCUCUGAAAUUGUUAAGGAUUUUACAAAAUCACUGAAAAUAGAGCUAGGGAUUUUGUAAAAAAAACCUGAUUACAAUAAAGUAUAACAUGCUAUUAGAAAUGUGUUUUUCUUAACAUUAAGAUAGACCAAAUUAAUGAUCACUAAUGAUUUAGAAAUAUAUUUGUUUAAUAAACACGAUGAGCUAGAAAUUGUGAAAAAUGAUAAUGACUAAAAGGCAUUUUAAUGGGUAUUUAGACCACUCUGAAUUUGCUUAUUUUUGCAAGACAAGUUUGGGUGACAUUCCUACCACUAUAUAAGCUAUUGAUAUGUGAAUGUUCUUACUUAUGCUGUACAUGUCUUCAAGACAUACAUAAUAUUUUUAAAACAUCUUCAUCUGAUGAAUAUCGUUUUUAACAAUUUUUUUCAAAUCUUCACAUUGAAGAACUUCAUACCUUCAUUUAUCAACAAAAUAUUUAUUGUAUUUGGAUUAAAAGAGUUGAGAAAUUUUAGAAACUUAUUCAAAGUUAUACCACUUUGUGAUAGAAUACAUGUGUCUGAUAAAUGACCAAAGUAGGUAAACUUUGUGAUAUAAUACAUGUGUCUGAUAAAUGACCAAAGUAGGUAAACUUUGUGAUAUAAUACAUGUGUCUGAUAAAUGACCAAAGUAGGUAAACUGUUGGUGACAUUCUGCUGUUGUUUGCUCUAUGGUCGGGUUGUUGUCUCUUUGGCACAUUCUCCAUUUCCAUUCUCAAUUUUAUUAUUAUUUGUUUAUUUUUACUUGGUAAGAUUAACCUAUUCAUAAACAUGCAAGUACAAAACAUAGUAUUAUUACCAAUAUUUUAUGUUGUCUUUUUUUAUUAUUAUUUUGUGAAUAUAAAUGUUAUUUUGUAGGCAGCAAAUUAAUAAUAAAACACUUAUUUGCUUUUUAUAUAUCAAUUUUCAUGCAGAAAUAAGAUGCUCUUCAUCUGAUAUGCAUGUAAUAUUUACCACUGUAUCACAUACCCUAACCCACUCAAUUUCUUAUACCUUACAUAAGUGUUUUUCUUCUCUAAUGCCAGCAAUCAACCUAAUGUUCAGUUUUGAUUUUAGAUUUAAAUAAAUUGAUAUAAUUGGUUUUAUUUUCUACAGUAAUUCCAUGUAUACAGAAAAACUAUAAUAAACAGUGACUUUCUUUCAAACCCGGAAGUGAUAAGAGCUUGUUUUGUCUUUUUUCUGUGGCUCAUUGACAAAAUAUUCCAAAAUGUUUAUCAUAUUUUCCCUGGUUCAAUAUGUUGCACUUUAAUUUUACCUCAAUUAUUUGAAGUAGCUUUUGUGUGUAUGUUUGCUCUUCAUUUCAAGACAUUUGUGCCUGAGCCAUUGCUCUACAGUAUGUCAGUUGUUUUGUGCAUGAAAACCGCUCACUUAAUAUUAAGAUAAAGACUAGAUUAACCUCAAUCUUAUUGAGUGUUACUGUUGUAGUCUUUUUUCACAUAAAUUCUUAAUAAAAGUGAAUGAAUGUAUUUUGCAAAUUCCCUGAAUUUAAUCAGUGAAUCUGUAAAAAAGAUCUUAAUUAUUUCAGGGAUUUUGUAACAUCACUAGUCAAAAUCAGGGAUUUUAUAAAAUCACUAAACAGAUUUCACAAAUAUCCUGUAACAUAUAUACUCAUACGAUUCAUUUGUUAUAACAUUGAUUAUGGUUAGACAAAGUAAUUUCUAUGCACUUAAACAUAUGAAUAUUAAGAAUAAUUUGAAAUCGACAAAUCGUUUGUUGCUAGCAAUGGCAUAUUUUAUAAAUUAUUGCUCAUCUUGUAGGUGACUACCUUGCAGUUAACUAUUAUUGCAUGGGUGCAUGUAAGGUAUGCACAUAUUCCUUCCCUGACUGUGCGGGAUUUGCUGACGGAAUACACAGAAAUGAAUAUAGUUCGCAAUCAAGCACAUAUUUUGAGUGUCAAAAUGAAAGGAACAUUUAUGGUGGUCAAAAUCCUUGUCCAAGUAACAUGGCACCUCACAAUGGCAAAUGCACAGACCUUUUCGAAAUACAACAUGUGCAACAUUCCAAUUGGCAGCUUGGAUACGCUAUAGACUGCUCCGGUCGACCAAAUGGUAACUAUAAAAGUGAACAUGUUCAAAAGUGCGAUAUCUACUACACUUGUGUAAAUGGAAACUCUACGCUAACAUACUGUGAUUCUGAACUAGUCUUUGAUUCAAAGUCGUCCUUCUGUCAGAAUACAACAAAUGUAUGUACCCCAUGCGGAUCCGUUGUGUCCGGUUGUUAAUGAAAAUGUGACAACAAUAAUCCGAAUUUGCACAUCUUAGCUAAUGUUAGCAAACCUCUGCAAAGUAUCCUACAAAUCCUUUCUAGGCAGAUGAGACUAUGAACGGAAAUUUUCUCUCGCAUUUCUCGUUAAACCAUAUAUACUAGUAAUUAAAGAAAUGUUUGUGAAAUUUGUAUUUGUACAGGACUUCAAAGAUCUUAAGAAAAUUGACCAUUACAAUGUAUACCAAACCAAUAACUCAACUGUCUCGUCGAAGAGAAGACGUUAUUUCUUUUUAUGAGUCUGUUAUAAGCAUUUAUAUAUUUGUGUUUAGAACAAAAGAAUAUAAUGUUGCUUGAAAUCAUUUUGAAUUUCAUGAAACUCUCACAGUUAUGUUUUUUUAUCUUUCAUUUGUAUAUAUUAAAGGCUUUUAUGAGACUUGAUCAACGGGGAAACUAAUGUUGCCUCGAACUUAUAACAGUGG
Molecule: long non-coding RNA, 10718 nt
Filed under: Mytilus galloprovincialis (Mediterranean mussel)
Lineage: Eukaryota; Metazoa; Mollusca; Bivalvia; Mytilida; Mytilidae
Source: RNAcentral